AACGAACGCUGGCGGCAUGCCUAACACAUGCAAGUCGAACGAGACCUUCGGGUCUAGUGGCGCACGUGUGCGUAACGCGUGGUAACCUGCCCUUAGGUUCGGAAUAACUCCCCGAAAGGGGUGCUAAUACCGGUUAAUGUCUUCGGACCAAAGAUUUAUCGCCUUUGGAUGGGCCCGCGUUGGAUUAGCUAGUUGGUAGGGUAAAAGCCUACCAAGGCGACGAUCCAUAGCUGGUCUGAGAGGAUGAUCAGCCACACUGGGACUGAGACACGGCCCAGACUCCUACGGAAGGCAGCAGUGGGGAAUAUUGGACAAUGGGCGAAAGCCUGAUCAAGCAAUGCCGCGUGAGAGAUGAAGGCCUUAGGGUUGUAAAGCUCUUUUACACGGGAUGAUAAUGACAGUACCGGGAGAAUAAGCUCCGGCUAACUCCGUG
This 433-nucleotide ribosomal RNA is filed under the name uncultured bacterium. RNAcentral describes it as "partial 16S ribosomal RNA". It matches the Rfam family "Bacterial small subunit ribosomal RNA", at positions 29 to 507 of the family's 1533-position model. The record is from RNAcentral.